GUCCCCGGCGUCCGGGCGCCCUGCAUGGAUCCCCCACCCCAGCUCCUGCUCCCCGGCGGCGGCCGGUGGGCAGAAAGACCGAAACCCACUCACGGCCGCCUGCCGAAUCGCGGCUCUGCUGUUUGUGGGGCGUGCUAGAAACGUGGUCCUAAAAAGAAUGGCGUCCAUUUACAUAAUGCUUUGUUUGCGUUUCGCAAGUUUCUUUCGGUUAAAGCCACAGAAACCCCACCUCCUGCCCUUGUGUCGUUUCCACCGCGGCACCCUUUUCCGACAUUAGAAACAAUAGUGUACGCCUGUGGAGGCCUCGUUUGUUCAGGGGCUGCCGGCCAGGGCUUCAGGACGUUUCUGCGGCUUUCCCCGCGCGGCCUGGGCUCCCGCGGCUGCUUUUCGGGCCCAUGGGCGCAGCCACUGCGCCAGGCUCAAGGGGGGCGGCCCCGUCAGGGCCCGCCAUCUUGGAAGGCCUUUUUUGCCGGUUCUUCCCGCUGAGGAAGUGUCGCUCAAGACGCUGGCCUAUGAGUUGUGAUUUCUGCCUUUUCCCCUUCCUCCUUGGGCUAAGCCAGACCAGAAAGGGCCCCGUGCGCAACGUGCUUCACAAUCUCUCAGGGAAAGCGGCUAACGUGGCGCUACUCCGCCUCCCCUGUUCCUUACCCUUGGGGCGGCCGCCAUGUUUCCUGAACACAAAAUGGCGACACGUGGUUAGCAUUCGUCGCCAACGAGAAAUUGGGGUCGGCCCGAAAGCUCUAGAAUGCACCCCUCUUCCUCCCCGGGGCCUUCCACCUCCGCGAGUUUUAUGACUUAAAAAAGCCCACAGGCUGGUCUGAAGGUCGGAGGCCUAAUUUUAACGCGUUUUCCUCCCUUUAAUUUGAAACGGGAACGCGAAUGACUGUAAAAUGUGGGCACAAUAUUUAAUCUCUCGCCUUUUUAAAGCUUAAUAGUGGAUAAUAGGGGGGCAGUAUCAAGGGAUAAUUUGGGUCCCCACAGUACCAAAGCAUUUAGAAACCUCUGUUUAAUUUAAGGAAUGAGAUAAGUUACUGCUUUUCUAGACUUCCUAGCAUGGGCUGUUGUGCUGGAGAGAACGAGAGCUACGAAGAGACUACAGUGCCUCUGACUUUUUCAUAGGACAGUUGGCCGGUGAAUCUUAUUAAUAGUUUACCACAAUUAAGUGUUCAUUUUUAGUCUAGAAGGGACAGGCGUUUAUUGUGCAUUGGCCAGUGCCAGCACAUCCGAUGCAAGGCAGUUCACCGUAUUCUAUCUUUAAUUUUUACCAUGGUCCUCUGAGGUAGGUGUUCUUAUCUCUCUCUCUCUCUCUCUCUUUUAAACAGAGGAAGACAAACAUAAAGAUGAAGUGCUUAAUUCAAGGUCACACAAUGUCGGGGAUGGACCUCCAGAUUUCCUUACUGACCUGCAUUAUCUUGUGGAUACCUGAGUGAAUUCCACACCACCCAUUUUAUAGAUGAAACCACUGAGACAUGGAGCAAUUGACUGAGUAGUCACUGCCCCACCCCUGCCUGGAGCCUCACACAUGACUCGCCUCCUCUCAGUGACCACAGGAAAACAAGCUCAGGGCUCCCACUGAUUGUACAUUAUGGUGAGACGUGGUCUUGUAACACAGUGGUUAAGAAUGUGACUUUGGAGCCAGCCUGCUAGGGGCUGAAUUCUGACUCAGCCAUUUACUAACUGUGUGACCUUAGGGAGGAGGACCUGGUUGAUAGAAGAAUUUAUCUCGUAGUCUUAACAUCCACUGUAAUUCCAAACUUUGAGGACGAUAGAGAUCAGUGGGCUUUGACUGCCCAGCAUGCAGUCUCCAUUCUUAGGUGGGUUCCCAAGCCUGUAAAAUGUAAGCCUUAUGCUGCUGAGGGCCAUCUUGCCACCCUGAGGGAAACGCUGCCUGAGAAUGAAACAAGCAUAAGUAAAAGCUGAGCUGUGAGAUGGAGCAAGAUGAAGGCCACAUGACAUCUUUGGAGCACCUGGAUCUAACUGUGCCUUAAGCUAGUCUAACCCUGAACAUUUCAUCAUUUCAUUGACAUGAGCCCAGGUUUUCUUUUUUUUUGGAUGGAGUCUUGCUCUGUCGCCCAGGCUGGAGUGCAGUAGCUCAAUCUCGGCUCACUGCAAGCUCCACCUCCCGGGUUCACGCCAUUCUCCUGCCUUAGCCUCCCAAGUAGCUGGGACAACAGGCGCCCACCACCACUCCCAGCUAAUUUUUUGUAUUUUUAGUAGAGACGGGGUUUUACCAUGUUAGCCGGGAUGGUCUUGAUCUCCUGACCUCAUGAUCCGCCCGCCUCGGCCUCCCAAAGUGCUGGGAUUACAGGUGUGAGCCACUGCACCCAGCCCUCAGGUUUUCCCUUUUUUUACCCCUCCUUUUGAAAAUUUGAUGUGGAAUUUUGCCACCUGCAGCCAGAAGAGUUUUAACUAAUCAGUGCCAUAAAUUUUAUAUAGUUCUCCUUGCAAAAUGUGGAUCAGCCUUUCUCAGCAAAUCCUUUGUCAUAAAGUGCUGAAUUGUAAGUUUGUCAUGAGAAUCACAUGAGAUCAUGCAUGUGAAGAACCUGGCAUUAUCCUCCUCAUAGAAAAAAACCAGUAAAUAUUAACUACAGGAAGCAAGGAAGGAGUGGGGUGAGGGGAAGAAGAAGGGGUACUGAUUUAAAAGAACCCUGGAGUCCUAAGGAUAAUCUAGGAACCCUCAGACCCAAUCCGAUACCCCUAUUCUAAAUGCUCCUAGUGCCCUGUACCUUCCCCUCAUAAGCCUUCAUUAUCAUUGUAAUGAUAUGUUUAUGUAAUAUUUUGAUUAAUGUCUCUCCUUCACUGACCUAGCAGUUCUAGCAGGGCAGUGAUUUUGCUGUGUUGCAUCCCCAGCACCUAGUCUGGUAUGUGGCAUUCAGCAUAUGUUUAUUGAAUGAAUGGCCAUGUGGUUAUUCAGAUCCUCCUUGAUUAUUGGGGUUAGGAUUGUGGCAGAAGUGGCAAAAUCAGGGAGAGUAGUCCCUGUCCCCUCUGUAUCUUAUACACUGCCCACACUCCCAACACACAUACACAUACAGAGAAUUUUGUCUCAAUUAGAUAAUUAACUUCUGCUUGGUUGUAAACCAAACCACUGGUUCUUAAACUUUCAUUGGAUCAUUUUAUUGAAGAAUUAAAUAGUGUGGUUCUGGCCUAAUGUCUGGAAAGCCUUGCAGAGGAGUGGAUUAGGUCUUUGUGAUAAACAGGCAGCCUUCCCUGCUCCUGUGUCUUUAUAAAAUCUAUUUAACUGGAGUAGUCCACCCUCCCUCAGGCUCUUACAGGAAUAUGUUGGAGGCUGUAGGAAGGUGGGAAACCGAGAGGGAAAGGACUGGGCCGCUGGAGACUUCACUCAUUCCCUAGCAAGAAACAAAAGCAGUAAAAGGUGGCCCGAGGACAACCUGAAGCUCACUCCUUCAGCACUUUUGGCUGGAGGUCACUUGUUGGAGCCCCACUCAGAGCUCAGCACACCACCCCACCAGCAGCCUCCUCCUCCCAGCUGAGGCUGCAUUUCAUCCCUUCCCCCAGCCUGCUUUCCCUGAGAUAGGGGAGUGUUUCCCAGGGCCCAUGUGACUUCCACUGGCAAGUGACGAUUACCAAUGGUUUACUAGUCAGUGAAACUACCAAAGGCUUUUGUGCUGUAGUAAUCCUUUUCCUGUUUAAAACUCUGGGGAUUUUCUAAUGUUGCCAAUAGUUUUUCAAGUCAGCAAUUACUGUGUGGAUUAUGUAAUGGCUCGGUAUUAAAAAUAGAAAAGACUGGA
RNAcentral lists this long non-coding RNA (3749 nucleotides) under Homo sapiens (human). RNAcentral's name for it is "PCBP1 antisense RNA 1, transcript variant 22 (PCBP1-AS1)". Lineage: Eukaryota; Metazoa; Chordata; Mammalia; Primates; Hominidae. The record is from RNAcentral.